Ameiurus melas (black bullhead) is the source of this 66-nucleotide non-coding RNA. The record is from the annotation of a GenBank genome assembly. Lineage: Eukaryota; Metazoa; Chordata; Actinopteri; Siluriformes; Ictaluridae.
GGCUCGUUGGUCUAGGGUUAUGAUUCUCGGCCGGUGAGAGGUCCCGGUUCAAAUCCGGAUGAGCCC